This 449-nucleotide ribosomal RNA is filed under the name uncultured bacterium. RNAcentral's name for it is "bacterial SSU rRNA". It matches the Rfam family "Bacterial small subunit ribosomal RNA", at positions 328 to 793 of the family's 1533-position model. The record is from RNAcentral.
GUGCCAGACUCCUACGGGAGGCAGCAGUGGGGAAUACUGCACAAUGGGGGAAACCCUGAUGCAGCGACGCCGCGUGAGCGAUGAAGUAUUUCGGUAUGUAAAGCUCUAUCAGCAGGGAAGAAAAUGACGGUACCUGACUAAGAAGCCCCGGCUAACUACGUGCCAGCAGCCGCGGUAAUACGUAGGGGGCAAGCGUUAUCCGGAUUUACUGGGUGUAAAGGGAGCGUAGACGGCAAUGCAAGCCAGAUGUGAAAGCCCGGGGCUCAACCCCGGGACUGCAUUUGGAACUGUGUAGCUGGAGUGUCGGAGAGGCAGGCGGAAUUCCUAGUGUAGCGGUGAAAUGCGUAGAUAUUAGGAGGAACACCAGUGGCGAAGGCGGCCUGCUGGACGAUGACUGACGUUGAGGCUCGAAAGCGUGGGGAGCAAACAGGAUUAGAUACCCUGGUACG